GCAUUUGAAACUGGCAGACUAGAGUACUGUAGAGGGGGGUAGAAUUUCAGGUGUAGCGGUGAAAUGCGUAGAGAUCUGAAGGAAUACCGGUGGCGAAGGCGGCCCCCUGGACAGAUACUGACACUCAGAUGCGAAAGCGUGGGGAGCAAACAGGAUUAGAUACCCUGGUAGUCCACGCCGUAAACGAUGUCUACUUGGAGGUUGUGGCCUUGAGCCGUGGCUUUCGGAGCUAACGCGUUAAGUAGACCGCCUGGGGAGUACGGUCGCAAGAUUAAAACUCAAAUGAAUUGACGGGGGCCCGCACAAGCGGUGGAGCAUGUGGUUUAAUUCGAUGCAACGCGAAGAACCUUACCUACUCUUGACAUCCAGAGAACUUUCCAGAGAUGGAUUGGUGCCUUCGGGAACUCUGAGACAGGUGCUGCAUGGCUGUCGUCAGCUCGUGUUGUGAAAUGUUGGGUUAAGUCCCGCAACGAGCGCAACCCUUAUCCUUGUUUGCCAGCGAGUAAUGUCGGGAACUCCAGGGAG
This 525-nucleotide ribosomal RNA is filed under the name Vibrio parahaemolyticus. RNAcentral describes it as "bacterial SSU rRNA". It matches the Rfam family "Bacterial small subunit ribosomal RNA", at positions 623 to 1147 of the family's 1533-position model. Lineage: Bacteria; Pseudomonadati; Pseudomonadota; Gammaproteobacteria; Vibrionales; Vibrionaceae. The record is from RNAcentral.